GGCUCCAUAGUGUAGUAGUUAGCACAUCUGCUUUACAUGCAGAAGGGCCUGAGUUCCCACCCCAGGUGGAGCCU
Molecule: transfer RNA, 74 nt
Filed under: Pteropus alecto (black flying fox)
Lineage: Eukaryota; Metazoa; Chordata; Mammalia; Chiroptera; Pteropodidae
Rfam family: tRNA
About the family: Transfer RNA (tRNA) molecules are approximately 80 nucleotides in length.
Source: Rfam by way of RNAcentral